This 86-nucleotide non-coding RNA is filed under the name Salisediminibacterium beveridgei. RNAcentral describes it as "Bacillus beveridgei c-di-GMP sequence". It matches the Rfam family "c-di-GMP-I riboswitch aptamer". Rfam says of the family: GEMM was predicted in a large-scale screen for bacterial structured RNA regulatory elements. Lineage: Bacteria; Bacillati; Bacillota; Bacilli; Caryophanales; Bacillaceae. The record is from Rfam by way of RNAcentral.
CAUUGACAAAGGCACACUACCUGAAAGGGUGGGUCGCAAAGCACCAGGGUCUAAGGUUAUUCAACUAUGAUCGCCUUGCUACCGGA